Molecule: non-coding RNA, 208 nt
Organism: Oryza barthii
Lineage: Eukaryota; Viridiplantae; Streptophyta; Magnoliopsida; Poales; Poaceae
Source: Rfam
UUUAAGUGCGACUAUAAGUAGUUUUCGCGUCCAACUUUGAUCAUCUGUCUUAUUUGAAUUUUUUUUAUAAUUAGUAUUUUUGUUGUUAUGAGAUGAUAAAACAUGAAUAGUACUUUACUCGUGGCUUAUGUUUUUAAUUUUUUUAAAAAAGUUAUCAAAUAAGACGGACGGUCAAAGUUGGACGCAGAAAACCAUAACUACAUCUAAG